This 1043-nucleotide long non-coding RNA is filed under the name Olea europaea (common olive). Its description in RNAcentral is "long non-coding RNA (OEUR_LNC004912)". Lineage: Eukaryota; Viridiplantae; Streptophyta; Magnoliopsida; Lamiales; Oleaceae. The record is from RNAcentral.
CUUUGCUGCAUCCGAUAGACUCGGAUCUCAAUCCUCGGUUAGUUUUCUGCCAGUAUAUUGAUUUUGAGAUAUAUGUAACGUCCUUGUUGUUCGUUGUUGCAGUUUUUUCUUGUAUGUAAAUUUGAAGUUUUGAUAAUUUAUAGAACAAUGGUCAUUCAUUUUUAUUUCGUUUGUCAUCAAUUGAAUGUAAGGCUAUACCUUUAGCAGCUCUAAUGAAUUAGCCUAUUCUGAGCUAUGUAUGUUUAGAAGUACUGAUGAGUCUUGUUUGUUAGGAAAGGUCAUACCCUAGAGUCGAGAAGAGAAAGUUUGUGAGGUGUUACACCGUACAGAUUUCACCUCAAUUGUGGUUAUAGUCACCCUUAUAAAUAUCCGAAUAUAAAGGGUAUUAGAACGAGUUUAAGAUUUUGUAGCCACAUUAUCCGAAUGUUCAAGCUUCAGCGAUGGGCAAAUACCAGGAAGGUGCCUUGUAACUACUUUUGGACGCAAAUAGGCAGAAAAGAGCCUUUAACCACUAGUAUUAAAUAGUCUAAAAACGUGAAUUCAUAGGACCAGAUUAUGUUAUUGAUAAUGUAUUUUGAAACCCUUUUGUCAUUUUUUUUUUAAUUUUAUUGAAAAUUUUAUUUUGACUUCGAGUUGUCAAUCGAGAAUUUAAAUCUUAAAAAUUUUUGAAAUUCUAAUUCAUUGAUGAGCUAUGCUUGGUGUAAGCUAGUUUGACAGCCCCCUCACAUGCGAGGGGGUCCACGCUAAAUAUUUUAGUGGAAAUUACAUCAGGUGUCAACUUUUGGCUUUUUAUUUACAAAAAUGUCACUUUUUUAAAGUCAUUGCAAGAUUGUCAAUUUUUGACAAUUUUGCCCCUCUAGAUAAUUUAAAAUACCCUUCACAUCCUUCAUUAAAUAUAGAUUUGACUAGAUGAAAAAAUAGUACAAAAAAUUUUAAAAUAUCACAUCUCUCAUCUCACUAAAUUGUUGACAAUUUAUCUUCUAAUUAAUGAAAAAAAUUGAUGGAGAUUUUCAUUUUCCUCUCCAACCGACUCUAGCUCUCCC